ACGGGUGAGUAACACGUGAGUAAUCUGCCCUUGGCUUUGGGAUAGCCACCGGAAACGGUGAUUAAUACCGGAUACGACCACUCCUGGCAUCAGGUGGUGGUGGAAAGUUUUUCGGCCAGGGAUGUGCUCGCGGCCUAUCAGCUUGAUGGUGAGGUAAUGGCUCACCAUGGCUUCGACGGGUAGCCGGCCUGAGAGGGUGACCGGCCACACUGGGACUGAGACACGGCCCAGACUCCUACGGGAGGCAGCAGUGGGGAAUAUUGGACAAUGGGCGGAAGCCUGAUCCAGCAACGCCGCGUGAGGGAUGACGGCCUUCGGGUUGUAAACCUCUUUCAGCAGGGACGAAGCGCAAGUGACGGUACCUGCAGAAGAAGCACCGGCCAACUACGUGCCAGCAGCCGCGGUAAUACGUAGGGUGCGAGCGUUGUCCGGAAUUAUUGGGCGUAAAGGGCUCGUAGGCGGUCUGUCGCGUCGGGAGUGAAAACCAGGUGCUUAACACCUGGCUUGCUUUCGAUACGGGCAGACUAGAGGUAUUCAGGGGAGAACGGAAUUCCUGGUGUAGCGGUGAAAUGCGCAGA
This 578-nucleotide ribosomal RNA is filed under the name Nocardioides sp. StRD614. RNAcentral describes it as "bacterial SSU rRNA". It matches the Rfam family "Bacterial small subunit ribosomal RNA", at positions 102 to 694 of the family's 1533-position model. The record is from RNAcentral. Lineage: Bacteria; Bacillati; Actinomycetota; Actinomycetes; Propionibacteriales; Nocardioidaceae. RNAcentral also lists the same sequence under 1 other name.